RNAcentral lists this ribosomal RNA (412 nucleotides) under Escherichia coli. Its description in RNAcentral is "bacterial SSU rRNA". It matches the Rfam family "Bacterial small subunit ribosomal RNA", at positions 44 to 452 of the family's 1533-position model. The record is from RNAcentral. Lineage: Bacteria; Pseudomonadati; Pseudomonadota; Gammaproteobacteria; Enterobacterales; Enterobacteriaceae.
AGGCCUAACACAUGCAAGUCGAACGGUAACAGGAAGCAGCUUGCUGCUUCGCUGACGAGUGGCGGACGGGUGAGUAAUGUCUGGGAAACUGCCUGAUGGAGGGGGAUAACUACUGGAAACGGUAGCUAAUACCGCAUAACGUCGCAAGACCAAAGAGGGGGACCUUCGGGCCUCUUGCCAUCGGAUGUGCCCAGAUGGGAUUAGCUAGUAGGUGGGGUAACGGCUCACCUAGGCGACGAUCCCUAGCUGGUCUGAGAGGAUGACCAGCCACACUGGAACUGAGACACGGUCCAGACUCCUACGGGAGGCAGCAGUGGGGAAUAUUGCACAAUGGGCGCAAGCCUGAUGCAGCCAUGCCGCGUGUAUGAAGAAGGCCUUCGGGUUGUAAAGUACUUUCAGCGGGGAGGAAGGG